GACGAACGCUGGCGGCGUGCCUAAUACAUGCAAGUCGAACGCUGAAGGAGGAGCUUGCUUCUCUGGAUGAGUUGCGAACGGGUGAGUAACGCGUAGGUAACCUGCCUGGUAGCGGGGGAUAACUAUUGGAAACGAUAGCUAAUACCGCAUAAGAGUAGAUGUUGCAUGACAUUUGCUUAAAAGGUGCAAUUGCAUCACUACCAGAUGGACCUGCGUUGUAUUAGCCAGUUGGUGGGGUAACGGCUCACCAAGGCGACGAUACAUAGCCGACCUGAGAGGGGGAUCGGCCACACUGGGACUGAGACACGGCCCAGACUCCUACGGGAGGCAGCAGUAGGGAAUCUUCGGCAAUGGACGGAAGUCUGACCGAGCAACGCCGCGUGAGUGAAGAAGGGUGUCGGAUCGUAAAGCUCUGUUGUAAGAGAAGAACGAGUGUGAGAGUGGAAAGUUCACACUGUGACGGUAGCUGAACAGAAAGGGACGGCUAACUACGUG
This 495-nucleotide ribosomal RNA is filed under the name uncultured bacterium. Its description in RNAcentral is "partial 16S ribosomal RNA". It matches the Rfam family "Bacterial small subunit ribosomal RNA", at positions 28 to 507 of the family's 1533-position model. The record is from RNAcentral.